AUUGAACGCUGGCGGCAUGCCUUACACAUGCAAGUCGAGCGGCAGCGCGGGGGCAACCCUGGCGGCGAGCGGCGAACGGGUGAGUAACUACAUCGGAACGUGUCCAGUAGCGGGGGAUAACCUGUCGAAAGAUAGGCUAAUACCGCGUACGACCUACGGGUGAAAGCGGGGACCGCAAGGCCUCGCACUAUUGGAGCGGCCGAUGUCGGAUUAGCUAGUUGGCGGGGUAACGCCCACAAGGCGACGAUCCGUAGCUGGUCUGAGAGGACGACCAGCCACACUGGAACUGAGACACGGUCCAGGACUCCUACGGGAGGCAGCAGUGGGGAAUUUUGGACAAUGGGCGCAAGCCUGAUCCAGCCAUGCCGCG
Molecule: ribosomal RNA, 370 nt
Filed under: uncultured bacterium
Lineage: Bacteria
Description: bacterial SSU rRNA
Rfam family: Bacterial small subunit ribosomal RNA
Source: RNAcentral